GAUAAACGCUGGCGGCGCACAUAAGACAUGCAAGUCGAACGGACUUAACCAUUAGUUUACUAUUGGAGCGGUUAGUGGCGGACUGGUGAGUAACACGUAAGCAACCUGCCUAUCAGAGGGGAACAACAGUUAGAAAUGACUGCUAAUACCGCAUAUGCCUUAAUUACCACAUGGUAAUAGAGGGAAAGGAGCAAUCCGCUGAUAGAUGGGCUUGCGUCUGAUUAGAUAGUUGGCGGGGUAACGGCCCACCAAGGCGACGAUCAGUAGCCGGACUGAGAGGUUGAACGGCCACAUUGGGACUGAGACACGGCCCAG
RNAcentral lists this ribosomal RNA (315 nucleotides) under uncultured bacterium. RNAcentral's name for it is "bacterial SSU rRNA". It matches the Rfam family "Bacterial small subunit ribosomal RNA", at positions 28 to 334 of the family's 1533-position model. The record is from RNAcentral.